RNAcentral lists this long non-coding RNA (259 nucleotides) under Amphimedon queenslandica. Its description in RNAcentral is "uncharacterized LOC109583542". The record is from RNAcentral. Lineage: Eukaryota; Metazoa; Porifera; Demospongiae; Haplosclerida; Niphatidae.
GGGAGGGCUCGGGCACUGGAAAUGGCUGGGUAAAACCGGGCUGCCCCGGACUGGGGCUUCACCUAUUUUCAUGGAAUAAGGACUGAUAUGGAGCUAGGAAGCCAUGAAUCCCCCUUGACUAAUGCUGGGAACAAGGCCGCUCUACUCCCAUGAUCUUUCUUCUAAGUCCAGGCUUUAACUCUCUCAUUUUUAUUUCUAAUUUUAUUUGCUGUCAUUGUUAUCUUAAUUCUCAUUUUCCUUGAUUGUUGAUUUAUUUUUA